Molecule: long non-coding RNA, 748 nt
Organism: Struthio camelus australis
Lineage: Eukaryota; Metazoa; Chordata; Aves; Struthioniformes; Struthionidae
Source: RefSeq, a predicted model, not a curated record
UUGCUGAAAGAAAAGGUAGUUUUCACAAGAGCUGGAGAGAGAUAGUUCACAUGCUUGCAGUUUGCGACGCCAUCAGAUAGCAGCUGCAUCUCCCUGACUUGUAAAAACUUGCCUUCACUGUAAUGAGGCUUGGCAACAGUGAGCCCAUUGCAGCUUCUGUUCCUGACGGUAUUUGAGAGUAAUGGACAAGGCAAUUUUGUUGUUCAUAUGUUGGUUGACCAUAUGGUAGACCAUCUAGGUUGAUGCUACUUUUUGUACACAGAAGUGAAUGCCUGGUAUACUGUGGCUUCAAUCUAAGAAACAGUUUUUUGGUUUUAUCCUAAUCUCUCUUUCUGACUGAACUGUGAUACGAUGCUGGAUCAGUAUCCUUGGCUAAUUCUUUUCAAGGCUUUUCUUCUGCAUUCAGCAUAAGUGAGCUUGGAUGUUUCACGUGAUGAACUUUAGCAAUGGUUACUUUUGCAUUUGCUUACACGGCGCUGAAUACAUGAGGAUACUGCUCUUACAUAGCAUAAAGUACUUCAUGUGGUGUGUUUCAUUCGGAAAGUGGCACGCGCAGGAAUAAAGGCCCAGAGGAAUACAACCCUUCUACCUCACACAAAAAUAAGACUGAAUAUGUCCUGAGAUCAAGAACCUUAGUUGACCAAGAGCCCAGUCGAAUACCGCUGGAAGGAGAGCAGUCCUGAACUGCAGUUUCUGUUCCCAGUCCUGUGACUGUUGAGAGGCCAAACAGGAUCCUGUACAACUUGAA